RNAcentral lists this ribosomal RNA (427 nucleotides) under uncultured Comamonadaceae bacterium. Its description in RNAcentral is "bacterial SSU rRNA". It matches the Rfam family "Bacterial small subunit ribosomal RNA", at positions 355 to 774 of the family's 1533-position model. The record is from RNAcentral. Lineage: Bacteria; Pseudomonadati; Pseudomonadota; Betaproteobacteria; Burkholderiales; Comamonadaceae.
UGGGGAAUUUUGGACGAUGGGCGAAAGCCUGAUCCAGCCAUUUCGCGUGCAGGAUGAAGGCCCUCGGGUUGUAAACUGCUUUUGUACGGAACGAAAAAGCUUUCUCUAAUACAGGAAGUCCAUGACGGUACCGUAAGAAUAAGCACCGGCUAACUACGUGCCAGCAGCCGCGGUAAUACGUAGGGUGCAAGCGUUAAUCGGAAUUACUGGGCGUAAAGCGUGCGCAGGCGGUGAUGUAAGACAGUUGUGAAAUCCCCGGGCUCAACCUGGGAACUGCAUCUGUGACUGCAUCGCUGGAGUGCGGCAGAGGGGGAUGGAAUUCCGCGUGUAGCAGUGAAAUGCGUAGAUAUGCGGAGGAACACCGAUGGCGAAGGCAAUCCCCUGGGCCUGCACUGACGCUCAUGCACGAAAGCGUGGGGAGCAAACA